RNAcentral lists this long non-coding RNA (414 nucleotides) under Elaeis guineensis (African oil palm). RNAcentral describes it as "long non-coding RNA (EGUI_LNC016369)". The record is from RNAcentral. Lineage: Eukaryota; Viridiplantae; Streptophyta; Magnoliopsida; Arecales; Arecaceae.
UUAGGCAUCGGAGGGUCAAGAAUCGAAGGAUCUCCAUCCGAUUUUUGACUGAUUUUGUAGGAUUCCUCAAAGGUGAGUCAGAUCAAAUUGCUACACCCACUCCAGUCCAACUUCAUCUGAUCCUCCUCUGUUCCAAAUUUUGAGCCUUGCAGCAACAAGAUAGUUGAAACAAAUUCAUCAUUGCAUAUUGUUAUAAUAUUAAUAGUAUUUAUAAGUAAUUUAGAAACUCAGAUUUAUUUUAUUUAUACAUAAACUGAACAAUAUUUUAUUUAUAGUUCUGAUUAGUCUGGUCAAAAACAAACAAAGUAGGCAAAGCUCAAACUCUGCUUGAAAUUAAUUCUCGUAGCCUUCAUCAACCUGCGCACGAGCUGCUUACCAAUGACAAAUGCGACCCCGACUCUUAAAUAUUAACAU